UACGAGGGGGGCGAGCGUUGUUCGGAAUUAUUGGGCGUAAAGGGCGCGUAGGCGGUCGGAUAAGUCUUGUGUGAAAUCUUCGGGCUCAACUCGAAGUCUGCAGAGGAAACUAUCUGGCUUGAGUGUGGGAGAGGUGAGUGGAAUUCCUGGUGUAGCGGUGAAAUGCGUAGAUAUCAGGAGGAACACCUGUGGCGAAAGCGGCUCACUGGACCACAACUGACGCUGAGGCGCGAAAGCUAGGGGAGCAAACAGG
Molecule: ribosomal RNA, 253 nt
Filed under: uncultured bacterium
Lineage: Bacteria
Description: partial 16S ribosomal RNA
Rfam family: Bacterial small subunit ribosomal RNA
Source: RNAcentral